RNAcentral lists this ribosomal RNA (305 nucleotides) under uncultured bacterium. RNAcentral describes it as "partial 16S ribosomal RNA". It matches the Rfam family "Bacterial small subunit ribosomal RNA", at positions 505 to 809 of the family's 1533-position model. The record is from RNAcentral.
ACAGCAGUCGCCACGGUAAUACGAAGGUCCCGAGCGUUGUUCGGAAUCACUGGGCGUAAAGGGAGCGUAGGCGGCGUGGUAAGCCAGAUGUGAAAUCCCGGGGCUCAACCCCGGAACUGCACCCGAUACUGCCAUGCUAGAGGAUUGGAGAGGUAGCUGGAAUUCUUGGUGUAGCAGUGAAAUGCGUGGAGAUCAAGAGGAACACUCGUGGCGAAAGCGAGCUACUGGACAAUAACUGACGCUGAGGCUCGAAGGCCAGGGUAGCGAAAGGGAUUAGAUACCCCCGUAGUCCCUGUCUCUUAUAA